This 253-nucleotide ribosomal RNA is filed under the name uncultured bacterium. RNAcentral describes it as "partial 16S ribosomal RNA". It matches the Rfam family "Bacterial small subunit ribosomal RNA", at positions 524 to 776 of the family's 1533-position model. The record is from RNAcentral.
UACGAAGGGGGCUAGCGUUGUUCGGAAUCACUGGGCGUAAAGGGCGCGUAGGCGGCCUGGCAAGUCGGGGGUGAAAGCCUGUGGCUCAACCACAGAAUGGCCUUCGAUACUGGUGGGCUUGAGACCGGAAGAGGUCAGUGGAACUGCGAGUGUAGAGGUGAAAUUCGUAGAUAUUCGCAAGAACACCAGUGGCGAAGGCGGCUGACUGGUCCGGUUCUGACGCUGAGGCGCGAAAGCGUGGGGAGCAAACAGG